AUGAAAUUAUAUAGAGAGUCAUUAAGUAGUAUCUUAGCUGUCUUCUGUGCUUCAUCAAGAAACCAAAAAAGAAUGUUCAAAGCAUAUCAAACUGCAAAAGUUCUAGAAAAAGUAAUUCCCCUUUCAAGGCCUCAAGAGAAACCAGAGGGCCCUGAGAACAACAAAAACACAGUCAUGGCCUUGAUAAAUAGAAAGUGAGGUAAAUUUAAAAGUGAGAGAUGUUUUUUGUAGGCAAUGAAAAAAACAUUCCAUUUAUGAAUGAAAUUCAAGAUAAUGGGUAUUUUUUAUUUAAAUUCUCUUAAUUAACAUAUAGUGCAUUAUAUAAUUUUAGGGGUAGAAUUUAGUGAUUCAUCAGUAGCGUAUAUGAACACCCAGUGCUCAUCACAUCACGUGCCCUCCUUAAUGCCUCUUAUCUAGUUACCCAUCCCCUUCAGUAACCCUCAGUUUGUUUCCUAUACUAUAGUUAAGAGUCUCUUAUGGUUUAUCUCCCUCUCUGAUUUCCUCUUGUUUUAGUUUUCCCUCCCUUCCCCGAUACUCCUCUGUUUUGUUUCUUAAGUUCCCCAUAUGAGUGCUGAUUAACUUAUUUCACUUAGCAUAAUAUCCUCUAGUUUUAUCUCUUUGAAAAUGGCAAGAUUUCAUUUUUUGAUGGCUUAGUAGUAUUCCAUUGUGUGUGUGUGUGUGUGUGUGUGUGUGUGUGUGUGUAUACCACAUCUUUGUCCAUUCAUCUGAUGGACAUCUGGGCUCUUUCCAUAGUUUGGCUCUUGUGGACAUUGCUGCUAUAAUAUACAUUGGUGUGCAGGUGCCCCUUCAGAUCACAAUAUUUGUAUCUUUGGAGUAAAUCCCUAGUAGUGCAAAUGCUGGUCACAGGGUAGCUCUAUUUUUAACUUUUUGAGGAAACUCCAUACUGUAGUCAGAAUGGCUGCACCAGCUUGCAUUUCCACCAACAGUUUGAGAGGGUAUCCCUUUCACCACAUCUUCACCAACACAUAUCAUUUCCUGACUUGUUAAUUUUAGCCAUUCUGACUGGUGUAAUGUGAUAUCUCAUUGUGGUUUUGAUUUGUAUUUCCCUGAUGCUGAGUGAUGUUGAGCAUUUUUCCAUGUAUCUGUUGGCCAUUUGUAUGUCUUCUUUGGAGAAAUGUCUAUUCAUGUCUUCUGCCCAUUUCUUGAUUAUUUGUACUUUGGGUAUUGAGUUUGAGAA
Molecule: long non-coding RNA, 1198 nt
Filed under: Canis lupus dingo (dingo)
Lineage: Eukaryota; Metazoa; Chordata; Mammalia; Carnivora; Canidae
Description: lncRNA (ENSCAFG00020002803.1)
Source: RNAcentral